UUUCUUUUGGUGGGUAACCACAAGAUUCCUUACCAGCAGUAUGACUGUUUUUUCCCCAGUAUUUGUAGGAGGCCACCAGAGAGACAGGAUUGCAAGGUUUUAAAUAUGCUAGUGUCAUGAGGUCAUGGAUUUCCUACCUGAAACAGAUAGUGUGACUGCCCUGCUAUAGCCAUGUUUGGCCAGUGUAGGAAUUUUGAGAACAGUGAACACUUAAUACUCAGAUGGCAUUUUGCCACCCCGACAAGGACCAUACCUGCCAUUCCAUUGUAGUUCGCCUUGCCCAGAAGUUUUAAAAUUUUUCUUUCAGCCUGGGAUUUCAAGUGUACUACAGCAUCCUCUUCACCUAUACAAGCGUCUGUUGUUUUAAAAGGAAACUGAUAUAAUUUGAGCAAAUAAUUUGAAGAUGGGUAAAUAGAAGUUUGACUGAAGCUGAUGAAAGUAAGCACAUUGAUUAAUAUUCUUAUCAUUUUUAUAAACUGCAUUACAGAAAUACAUAAUUUCUGUAAAAUAAAAUGUAAAAACAGGCAUGGAAGUCAGGGCAAAGGCAUAUGACUAGAGAAAAGUAAAAUGAAACCAAAUGUGAGGUGACACCUGGAAGGCAGCCUGUUCCUUUAACACACACAAGCACUCAUUCAGGCUAAACAGUGUACACACUCAUUUCCAGGUGGGCCACACUAUUUAGUUCUAUAUUUUUAGUAGCCCAUGAAAUGAGGGGAAAGUGGGUUGGGGGAAAUGGGCUAAAUGUAUAGAGUUGAAAUUAAGUAUGCUUGUGUAAUGGCUCUAUUGUUCUCUAAAGUGAGCUGUUCAAAGAACAAAAU
Molecule: long non-coding RNA, 818 nt
Filed under: Homo sapiens (human)
Lineage: Eukaryota; Metazoa; Chordata; Mammalia; Primates; Hominidae
Description: HSALNT0180906
Source: RNAcentral